AACGCUAGCUACAGGCUUAACACAUGCAAGUCGAGGGGCAGCAUGGUCUUAGCUUGCUAAGGCUGAUGGCGACCGGCGCACGGGUGUGUAACACGUAUCCAACCUGCCGUCUACUCUUGGCCAGCCUUCUGAAAGGAAGAUUAAUCCAGGAUGGGAUCAUGAGUUCACAUGUCCGCAUGAUUAAAGGUAUUUUCCGGUAGACGAUGGGGAUGCGUUCCAUUAGAUAGUAGGCGGGGUAACGGCCCACCUAGUCAACGAUGGAUAGGGGUUCUGAGAGGAAGGUCCCCCACAUUGGAACUGAGACACGGUCCAAACUCCUACGGGAGGCAGCAGUGAGGAAUAUUGGUCAAUGGGCGAUGGCCUGAACCAGCCAAGUAGCGUGAAGGAUGACUGCCCUAUGGGUUGUAAACUUCUUUUAUAAAGGAAUAAAGUCGGGUAUGCAUACCCGUUUGCAUGUACUUUAUGAAUAAGGAUCGGCUAACUCCGUGCCAGCAGCCGCGGUAAUACGGUGGAUCCGAGCGUUAUCCGGAUUUAUUGGGUUUAAAGGGAGCGUAGAUGGAUGUUUAAGUCAGUUGUGAAAGUUUGCGGCUCAACCGUAAAAUUGCAGUUGAUACUGGAUGUCUUGAGUGCAGUUGAGGCAGGCGGAAUUCGUGGUGUAGCGGUGAAAUGCUUAGAUAUCACGAAGAACUCCGAUUG
Molecule: ribosomal RNA, 696 nt
Filed under: uncultured bacterium
Lineage: Bacteria
Description: bacterial SSU rRNA
Rfam family: Bacterial small subunit ribosomal RNA
Source: RNAcentral